Molecule: RNA transcript, 8220 nt
Organism: Argiope bruennichi
Lineage: Eukaryota; Metazoa; Arthropoda; Arachnida; Araneae; Araneidae
Gene name: golgin subfamily A member 4-like
Exons: 23
Source: RefSeq, a predicted model, not a curated record
AGCAGAACACAGUCAUCAACUACUCUAAUCUUCGUCUGUUUACAUUAGUUUCUGUUUGUAGUUCUGACUCUGGAAUUCUUUUUAAUGUGUUUUGUUUCACUUUAAAGUAAUAUUAUACAGCAUUUCAGAUUUGAAACCAUCGCUUUAAUUAUAAAAAUUGUGUAAAAUUGUGUCUAUUUCAAAUUUAAAUGAUAGGCAGAGAACUGACGUGUCUCAGACAUGCGCAAGUAGGCUGAUUAUAUAGCAACUAUGUGGGCAUGAUGUGAUGUGUAGUAUGUUUUGAAAUAAAAUACAAAAUGAUAAACUGACCGGUAAUGGAAACACUUUUUCAUAAUUAACAUAAUUUUACUUCGUUUUCCCAUUAACUAUAUUUUUUGAACAUGUUUAAGCGUCUUCGUGAGCGAAUCGCUGAAGAAGCUACUAAAUUUCCAGUAGGACAGCUUAAUACAAAUACUGGUAAGCAGUCUGAUGCAGAAAAUAAAACUGCUGGUGGGAAUUCUACUGAAGAUUUAAUAACACUCAGCGAUAGUUCUUCUGUAGUAGUGCCUCAAACCAGUUCACAGCAAUUUAGCAUUGGUGAAGAUGAAGAUGGUUCUGUUAGUGAACAAAGUACACCUCAAAAACGAAAUGAUUCUGCUAAUGGAGCUACAAAUGAGCAUUCAGUGUAUUCAUCAGGCUCGAGAGAUCAUCCUGCUGGAACAGGAUCUGAUCUCGGCUUUGGUCAGGAAUAUCGGCCAACAAAAUCAAAUUAUAUCCCUCAAUCAGAUAUAGAAAGUGAAAGGGAAGAUCCACCAACAUUAAAUCUGGAAGGGAUAUCUAAAGAUCAACUUCUGUCUAUUAUAGAAUUGUUGAAAGCAAGAGCUUAUAAGUAUAAAAACAAAUAUGUAGAGGUUGUUAAAAACUACAAAGAAUUAAGAGAGGAGAAACUAAAAAUUGAAAAUACUUUAAUUGAACAACAAGAUAAAGCAUUGAGGCGGAUGGCAGAACUGCGAGAACAGUGCCAGUUGGAACAAAAGGCAAAAGCCCAUUUAGAAGCAAAUCUAAGGCUCAUGCUAGAGGAAAAAGAUUCUAGAAUAACAGUUUUAGAAACCCAGAUAAAUUUAUUGAAAGAAAGUGCGAAAUCUACAAUCAUGGAAGUUAGUGAAAAGCAAAAUUCAGAUUCUUCUGGUACAUUGAUUGAUAUUAGUGCAGCUAGUGUUCCGGAUGACUCUUCUCUAAAAGAGAAACUGGAAAGAUUUGAACACCAACUGAAUCAGGCUAACAAAACAAUUACUGCUCAAACCGAUCAAAUAUCCUUAUUGAGAAAACAAAAUGAAAGUCUUUCACAAGAACUUGAAGAAAAAGUUAAAACAUUAAAUGAAAUGGAGGAUGAACAAGGGCAGCUAAAAUCCAAACAUGAAUUCAUUCUGCAAGGAUUGCAAGAUCGACUCAAGGAAUUAGAAAAUCAGCAAGAAGAAAGUGUGAUGGCUAUGGCUGAAACUAAAAAGAACAUGCAUGAAGAAUUGGAAUUUAAAGAAAAACAACUUAUUAAAGCUGAAGAGGAAGCAAAGCAAUUUCAAGCUGCAUAUGAAACUGAAAAAUUAAAAGUGGUAGAAUUGCAAAAGCAACAGGAGGAAAAGGUUAAUUCCCUUCAACGGCAGUUGGAAUCUACAGAAAGGAUGUUGGAAGAAGAGAAACAAAAUCUGAUGCAAGAACUUGCUCGUGGAAAAAGUGCAGCAAUAACAUUAGUGCAGCAAGAAUGUGCUAAGAAAGUAGCAGCUGUUGAGGAAGAAUGGAAGAUAAGGUUGCAAGACGUGCAAAAAGAAAAGAAGGAGACUUCUGGAAAGAAAUUGAGUGUGAUUGAAGAAGAACUGAAACAGAAAAAACAACAUGUUGUAGAAUUGAAUUCUAUCAUUGAACUGCUAGAAAAAGAGAAUUCAGCCCUAAAGAAUUCUUUGGAAAAACUACAGUCAGAUGUAGACACCACUUCUACAAACUUUGACAAACUACAAGCUGAUUAUUUGGAUUUAAAAGAAUCAAGUGAUAAGAAAUUAGUACAGAUGAAAGAACAGUUAAAUCAAGAAUUAAAUGACAAGCUUCAAGUUUAUCAAAAAGCUGAAGCUGAUCUUCGCUCAACCUGUGAUUCUCUAAGAGAUCAAUUAAGUGAGAAACAGAAUCUGCUAAAUGAUUUGGUAAAUGACAAAAGUUCUUUGUGCCAUCAGAUUGAGUUGCUGGAAAAAAGAGAGAAAGAGCUUUUAAAUGAAUCUGAAAGUUUAAAAAAUGAAGUUAAGGAAUUGCAAGCAAAAUGUCAGAAUUUAGCAUCAGAAUUGAAAUCCUUUUGUGAACAUGAUUCUGAAAAAAUCCUAGAGUUACAAAAAUGUCUGGCACUAACCGAAUUGAAUCAUCAAGAUGCAGUUAAAGAAUUAACAGAAUACAAAGCUGAGAUUUUGGAAUUAGGUUCAGAAAACAAAGCACUUAUUGAUAAAGUUGGUUUCCUGAAUGCUAAUUCUGAUGAAAUGAAAAAUAAAUUACUUGUUGCAGAAGAAAAAAUUGUUUAUCUCAAUAAUGUUUUAGAUGAAUCAUCAAGGGAAUUCGGAUUACUAAAAACUGCUAUCGAUGAAAAGUUGAAUUUAUUCCAUAAUCGCAUUGAAGAUUUCAAUUAUAUAGAAAGUUCACUUUCAUCACUAGAAAAAGAAAACCAAUGUUUGAAAUCAGAAAUCAGUCAGCAUGAAACUAUUUGUAAUGAACUUAUCCAAAAAGUUACUAAACUUUCAAAAUUAAUUAAGUUAUCAAGUAGACAUAAACAGAAUGCAGAUAGGAAAAAAAACAUUGACUCUGAAUUAUUAAAUGAAAAUAGUUUUACUCGGAGAAAAGAAAAUCUGAUAUCAGAUAGAAACAUCAAAGAGUCUGAGUUAUCUGAGAUUCAUAGAAAUGACGAUAUUCUGGCGUCUUUAGAGGGAUAUGAUUUAACUAAUUGCGACAACCAAGAAUUGCAAAAAAUUGUUAAAAAGCUUAUAGAGGAAAAUCAAAAAUUAAAAGGAGAGCUUGAAGUUCUAAAUAUAGAAUUUGCUAAAAACAUUACUCAGUUACAUGAAUCUUUGAGUGAAUUACAAGAAGAACGAAAUAAUUUGAGUUUAGUUUUGCAAAGUAUUGAAACUCAAUCACAAGAAAUGAGUCCAUCACCAGAAAGGAGUAUGAAAGCAGUGGAAAAUGAUAAUAAGGAAGUUUGUAACUUAAUAAAUCAAAAUAAGGAAAACAACAAAUUUGAUAUAAUGGAGUUGAAUAACAAAGUGAAGUCUGAGAUAGCAGCACUUUCGGCUCAAACUGAAAUGAUAAAUCGUGAAUUGUGUUCCUUGCAUGAGCAAUUUAAUUUUGCAAAAUUAACAUAUUCUGAGAAAGUUUUGCAGUUGAACUCAAAAUUAAUGCGGAGAACUGAACAGCUUCUUUUUGUUAAGGAAGAAUUGGAUGCUUCUUUUCAAAAUUGCGAAGACUUGAAGAAUUUGUUAGAGUCUGUGAAAGAACAAUUAACAGAGAAAGAGGAGUUGUUAAGGACAUCUGAGAAAAGCAAAGAAGAUUUGGAAAAUAAAUAUAAAAGUGCAAAAGACAAGUAUAUUAAAAAAGAGCUCUCCCUUAAGCAAACGCACAAUGCUCAGUUAAGCGAUCUAAAAGAUCAGACUAAAGCAACAAUUGAAAAACUAAAUGAACAAAUUCAGAGUCUAAAUGCUCAGCUUACAGAGAGAGAGACAGAUCAUCAGCAUAAAUUGUCUAAUGUAACAGAAGAGUACAAACAAGAACUGAACAAAUUGGUUGCUGAUAAUCAAAUGCUCUUGCAAUGGAGGAAUGUUUUGAAUGAAAUAUUUGCUGUAAAUGAAACCUUUGAAGCUAAAUUGGCUGGUGAUUUAAACAAGUUAGAUAUUUUUAAUUCUAAAAUAGAUAAAUUAAGUUCUAAUUUGCGUUGCAUUCAAACAAAAUUAAAAGAAAAAGAAAUAACAGUCUUCCUGUCACAAAUAAAUGAUCUAGAAUGCCAAGUUCAGUCUUUAAGUAAAGAUAAUAAUGAUCUCAAUGAUAUGAAAAAUAAAAUGAAUGAACUUUCUGAGUUGUAUGAAGUUACAGUUAAUGAGCUGGAAAAAGAGAAAGGACAGAGAGAAGCAAGUGAGAAGGCUGUAUUGUCCUUAAAAGAGAAACAUGAAUCAACAUUGAAGGAACUUGAAAAUAAAUAUAAUUGUUCACUCUCUGAAAAUGAAAAUUUAAAAUCUUUGUUGCAAAAAUCUGAAAAUGAAAUGAAAACCUUAAAGGAAAAAUAUAAUGAAAUGAACUGCUCUUUAGAUAAAGUUUUAAAUGAACUGAAUGAUUCCAAGCGUCAGAUUUCCUUGUUAGAGGAGUUACGGGUUAAAUAUGAUUCCUUAGAGUCUGAGAAAGAACAGCAGUAUCUUUUAUUACAGAAAUCUGAAAAUGAAUUGAAAAGCUUAAGACACAAAUAUACAGAAGUGAAUUGUUCUUUAGAUAAAGUUACCAGUGAAUUGCAUGAUUCUAAAAGUCAAGUUUCUUCACUAGAAGAAUUAAAAAUAAAAUAUGAUUCUAUGCAAUUAGAAAAUAAGCAAAUAAAACAUUCAUUGCAAGAAUCUGAAAAUGAAGUGAAAAGCUUAAGAGAAAAAUAUGCAGAAAUGAAUUGUUCUUUAGAUAAAGUUACCAGUGAAUUGCAUAAUUCUAAAAAUCAAGUGUCUUCACUAAAAGAAUUACAAAUAAAAUAUGAUUCUAUGCAAUUAGAAAAUAAGCAAUUAAAACAUUCAUUGCAAGAAUCAGAAAAGGAUAUGGAAGCUUUACAAAAUGAACUUCUGGAAGUGAAAACUUCCUUGGAUAAAGUAACAAAUGAUUUAAAGAAUUCUGAGGAUAGAGUUUCUUUGUUAGGUGAACUGCAAUUUAAAUAUGAUUUCUUACAAUCUGAAAAUGAAAAAUUAAAAUCGUCCUCGUUGGAAUCAGAAAAUGACUUAAAAAUUUUAAAAGAAAAAUAUGCAAAAGUAAACUCUUCUGUAAAUAAAAUUACCAAAGAACUGAAUGAUUCAAAGAACCAGAUUUCUUUCCUGGAAGAGUUACACAUCAAGUAUGAUUCUUUAGCAAAAGAUUAUGAAGGUGUCUGUCAGCAUUUGGAAAAAGAAAAGAAUUCAGCUUCAGAAGCACUAAGGACUGCUUCUGAGUGGAAAUCAUUAUAUGAUUCAGUUUUGUGUAACUUAAAUGAUUUUUCUAGUAAAUCGUUUGAAAAUAUGAAAGCUAUUACUAUAGGAUUAAAUCAAAAUGAAAUGAAAUUGCAAUCUUUUGAACAACAAUUUUUGAAAGUUACUACAUUGUGCAAAGCUCAGAAGUCCCAGAUUUGUAUUUUAAAAGAAGAAAUUGUUAAUCUUAAAGAAGUAAAUAAAAACCUGUGUGAAAAAAUUCCAAAUGAAAACCAUUUGUUAGAUAUGGAAUCAAAAGUAAACAUAUUAGAUCAAAAAAUUAAAAAAGUUAUUGAAGAAAAAGAAAAUUUAAAAUCUGAAUUAGAAAGUGAACUCGAAUCUACGAAAUUAAAUUUAAAAACUGUAUUAUCAGAACUUGAAUCUAACAAAACUAAUUUUAAUACGACUCAGACUAAAUUAGUCAAUACUCUUUCAAAAUUAGAAGACACAGAAAAAAGAUUAAAUGAAGAAUCUAAAAAAGUUCUUGCCUCUAAGAAUGUAAUUGCUGAAUGGAAGAAGAAAUAUGAUACUACUGUGCAGGAACUCAAAGUGGCUUCUGAUUCACUUAGAAAUGCAGAAGAAAAUUUGAAAUCAUACCUGAAGCAAAUAGAGGAAAAGAAUGCAAAUAUUUCUGUGAUGAUAUCUAAAGAAAAAUUUGAAAGUUAUAAACAGAAUUAUUCUAAUAAAUUUGAAGAAAUGAAAUCUGAAAUUAAAGAGCUCCAAGCAGAAAUAAAUAUUCUUUCUACUAAUAUUAAAGAUAAAGAACUAGAAAUACAACAAAUCCAAUCUGAAAAGGAAAGUUUAACAACGCAAAAUGAUGAAAACCUAAAAUGUCUUCAAGAAAAAUUAGAAAAUGCUGAAAAAAAUUAUAUCACUCAAAUAGAUGAAUUGAAGUCCCAAAUCUUGCAGCUUGAAGAAGAAAAAUGUGUUUUGAAAACUGAAAAAUCGGAACUUUUAAAGUCUCAAGAAAAGCUGCAAAAUGAAGAAAGUGCCAUAAAAUCAGAAUUGAAACUAAAAGAAGAUGAACUUCUUAAAAUUCAACAAAAAUAUGAGACAACUAAUAAAGAACAAGUUGCAAAGUUGCAUAAUUUUCAAGAAACUAUGAAAGACAAAGAAAAUAUGAUUUUAAAAUUGAAAGCCAACAUUGAAGCUGUCAAAAAAGAAAACCUCGAGAAAACUGAUGAAUUAAAGAGAAAGAUUACCAAGCUAGAAGAAGAAAGAGAACAGUUAAUGAUUCAGGCUCAAGAACGUGUUUCCAUCACAGAAGCAAAAUGCAGAGAAGACAUUAAAGCUCUCCAAGAAAAAAAUAAUCAGUUACUUCUAGAAAAUAGUGAAAUUGAAAAAUUAAACAAAAAAAUUAGUCAGAUUGAUAAGGAAUUAUCUGAAUGUAAUCGGCUUGCAGAGGUAAAAGAAAUAACUGCCCGUAAAGAAAUUUCUCUUUUGAAGGAUCAACUAGCAAAAGCUGAAGAAAGACUUUCAGAAUCCGAGAAAAAGAAAAAAGAGAUUGAAGCUGAGUUGAGUGGGAAAAUCAGAAAGUUAGAGGAAGAAAAUUCAUCUUUGUUAGGGAAGACUAAUCAUUUUGAAAGUCUAAAGGCUGAAAAAGAAGAAUUAAAUGAAAAACUAAAACAAGCAGAGCAACAAGUGACAUCAAUAAAAAUGUUAGAAAAUGAAAAAGAUGCAUUAAAAAAUGAAAAUACAGCCAUUUUGAAAGAAUUAGAACUUUUAAAAUCUUCAGAAAGUGAUGUUGAGCUGAAGCAAAAAGUUGAAUCUUUAGAAGAAAGUGAAAAAAGCCUACUUUCAGAAUUAGAGGAACUGAAAAGAAAUAAAGAAGCUGUAGAAAAUGAAUUGACAGAAUUGAAAACAUCUUUUGAAAAAGAAAGAGAAAACUUAAAAUCCCAGAAUGAAAAACUUCAAAAGCAAAUUACUUUGCUUGAAAAGAUGUCUUCAGAUCCUCAGAGUACUGCUUCAAAAGAUUAUAUUGCAGUAAUUAGAGGAGAGUGUGAAACUGCCAUAAAAGCAAAGGAAGAAGAAAUGGAGACAAAAUUAAAGCACCUUGUAAGAGAUUUUUGCAUUCAAAUGGAUGUCAAAGAUAAAGACUGUGAUAAAAUGGUUUCAGAUUUAUUAGAAAAAAAUCACGAUCUGGAGGAAAGGUUAGUGAGGGAGCACCGAAAAGAAGUUUCUGAACUGCGACAAAAUUUAUUUGAAAGAGAGUGUGCCUUAGAUGAAAUGAGAGAUAAUUAUGAGGAACAAUUACAGGAGAAAGAAAAGAAACUGAAAGAACUUCAGUCUACAAUAAAAAGAUUAUCAGAAAAUUCACAUUUGAUAUCCAAUGAUGUUGCUCCCAUUUCAGUAGAAGGGUCCGAUUGGGAUGAUACUUGGGCCGUGCCUGAAGAGAGUGUGGAAAAUUCUAGUCCUGUUCCUUGCAAUGAAUGCAAGGAACACCUACAACAGAUAGAAACAUUACAGAAUGAAGUAACAAAGUGCAACUCUGAAAUUAAAGAACUUAAAGUACUACUACGCCUUAGUCCUCCAGUAUCAAUGGCAAAUAACAGCCGAAAAGAUCCAUCACAAGCAAUACCAGAACCAACAGAGUUUGAGUAUUUGAAAAAUAUCAUAUAUGAAUAUAUGAUGGGCAAAGAACCAGUUACUUUAGCAAAAGUAAUUGCUGCUGUGCUCAGGUUUAGUGACAAACAAACUCAGCAAGUUAUUAGAAGAGAAGAAGCUAGGCAUCCUGCUAGAUAGAAUGCUGCUGCAUGAAGUGCCUUCAACUUGCAUCUAAUCAAGAUUUAAAAUGAUGACUCACUGGUUGAGCUCCAAGUAGUUACCUAUUAAAUGAUUGGAAUUUGGGAGAGGACCAAUUGCUAUAUACCCUUCCACUUUACAGUCCUAUUCAAAAAUGGAAUUGCAUCAUCUACCAUUUUGUAAAUCGGUACUUGUUUAUAAACAAUUUUUUAUAUGCAUCAUUUGAUUUCCAGAUUAAUAUAUAUAUUACUUUGAAUUGCUUAUGUAUUAAAAAACCUUUAUACAUGAA